Molecule: ribosomal RNA, 305 nt
Filed under: uncultured bacterium
Lineage: Bacteria
Description: bacterial SSU rRNA
Rfam family: Bacterial small subunit ribosomal RNA
Source: RNAcentral
AAUUCCUACGGGACGCAGCAGUGGGGAAUAUUGCACAAUGGGGGGAACCCUGAUGCGGCGACGCCGCGUGGGUGAAGGAGUAUGUCGGUAUGUAAAGUCCUAUCAGCAGGGAAGAACAAUGACGGUACCUAACUAAGAAGCACCGGCUAAAUACGUGCCAGCAGCCGCGGUAAUACGUAUGGUGCAAGCGUUAUCCGGAUUUACUGGGUGUAAAGGGAGCGCAGGCGGCGCGUUAAGCCUGGUGUGAAAGCCCGCGGCCCAACCGCGGGACUGCAUUGGGAACUGGCGCGCUGGAGUGCCGGGGG